GUACCCGGCGGGUGCCCUCAGCGCGGGCAGGGCCUGCCGGCUACGGGCGGUGCCCUCAGGAGGGCACGGCCGCCGCCCCAGGACGGUGACGGCGUUCGGAGCCCCGGCGAUGAGGAGGGGAUCUCGUCCCGCUCCAGCCCGAGCCUGGCGGGAUCCCCGAGGGAGGAGGCUGGAAUCAGAACAUGGGUCUGGAUCCGGAUUUGGCAGCCCGAGCCCACCUCUCCAACACAGCAGUGAGAUACAGCCAAAUCCCGACCGAAUAAGCAGCACCAGGAGUAAGUUACUAUAUACAACUGUUAGUGAGAUAGAUACGGUACAGUAAACACUGAGAACAUUUACAAAAAAAUAUUAAGACUUGUAUUAAGAUAAAAAUUGGAGUGUUUUUGCUUUGUUUACACUUUGACGAGUUUGCACUAGAACAGCCUCUCACUGUAGAAAGCGCAAGAACCAGGAAGGAAAUGGAGCCGCUCACGAAACCUUGGGGACAGUGUGGUUUGCUCUGGUGCUGCAGCACCUCUCGGGAUCCAGGUAUUGCUAUGCCAGGUACCAGCUCCGAGGCCAUGGCAGGGAACACGUGGGGCUCCUGCACUCACACACGCACACACACAGAGAAAUGUACAGCUUAUAAAUAACAGAAACACAAACUGAAGGACAGAACUGAGCCUGGGCCUGAACACCUGCCCCCAGACCUUUUUAGGGGAGAGUCAUGGUUAGGUCCAGUUGUUGACAGUUGCAGAAAAAGGAAAUAGGGAAAAACAGGGGGGAAUCUACUGUAACAAGACUUCAUCCUGAUUUAAAUUUCUUUUUGUACUGGCUCUGGAAACUAAGCAUCAGCUCCAGAAGGUGUUUGCACUGGAACUUUUAAGAUUUUAAUAACUGGCUGUGGAAGGAUUUUAGCAUUCCUGCUAUUUCAGCAGAGCAAUGUGUUCAGUAAUUUGCAAGUUUGAGGGCAACCAGGAGUUUGUGACAGAUCAGGGUGGGGAGGGAGCAGUGCCUUGGCUUGUGGUUGAGGAGAAGAUUAAGAUGUACUGUGCUUAGCUUCAGCACUAAACAAUUGGCUUGUGGGUGUUUCUUUUUCCAGCUCUUAUGGAGAGCACUGACUGCAUCCCAAAAUUACUUCCAUGUAUGAAUGGAAACGUCGCUGGUGGGGCGCCCGCCCCAUGCCCUGUUAGCGUUUCCAUUCCUCUAUGUCACUUCUGUCUUGAAAAACUCCAGUCUCUCGCAACACAAAUACUUAGAAUUCAAAACAAUCAGCUCUAAACAGGCAUCUUAGGGCAAAAGCAUUUAAAAUAGUCUUUUUUGCAGGGUUCUUAUGUAUUUGA
This 1322-nucleotide long non-coding RNA is filed under the name Junco hyemalis (dark-eyed junco). RNAcentral's name for it is "lncRNA (ENSJHYG00000003748.1)". Lineage: Eukaryota; Metazoa; Chordata; Aves; Passeriformes; Passerellidae. The record is from RNAcentral.